Non-coding RNA from Triticum urartu, 516 nucleotides. Lineage: Eukaryota; Viridiplantae; Streptophyta; Magnoliopsida; Poales; Poaceae. The record is from RefSeq and is a predicted model, not a curated record.
UCCCUUCCCUCCGGCACCACAGCUGAGCACUCUGAACUGGGGAGCGGAGACGGAGGAGGCAGGCACACCGGCGGCGAGGGUUAGGAAUAGGAAUAGGAAUAGGAUAGGAGGGAGAAUGCUGCGUCAAGCCUGCCCCCGCUCCACCCCCAGCCCUGCCCUCUACCCGCGGUGCGGCGACGGGGCCAAGUCACCCCUCGCUCGCCGUGGCUGCCGCGAAGUGGACUCCCGGCCGGCGGCGAGCUUCUCUGUCUUGUUGUCAUGGCUUCAGCAAUACUAGCAUACCCCAUUCACCAUGCCAUGACGCUGCUUCGAUCUUUUAGAUUUUGGAAGCGCACAAGGAGGACGCCACAAGUCCAAAUCAGGCCGUCUCUACAUCUACAAGUCACAGGUUCUCUUUCUUGUCGUUGAUGGCUUCAACAAGACUAGCAUGCCCCAUUCACCUCUCCAUGACACUGCUUUGAUGUCUUAAUCUUGAAGCGCACCACAAGUCCAAAUCUGUCCGGCUCUACAUCUACA